Molecule: RNA transcript, 2834 nt
Organism: Chenopodium quinoa (quinoa)
Lineage: Eukaryota; Viridiplantae; Streptophyta; Magnoliopsida; Caryophyllales; Amaranthaceae
Exons: 2
Source: RefSeq, a predicted model, not a curated record
AAACGUGAGGUAUUCAUUUUCUCUGUGCAAUGACUGCAAUCAUUACAAACACACUUCAUUCCUCUCCUUUUUCAACCCCAUUCAACUCAAACACCACCAACCACCACCAACAACAACAAUACAAAUGAACACCUUCUUUACUGCUUCAUCGUAUACACCUCUCUGCACCUGUAUUUUCUCCGCGGUGAAGAGAGGUGUAUAUGAUGAAGCAGUGAAGAAGGUGUAUAUGAUGAAGCAGUGAAGAAGGUGUAUACAGAUGCAGAGAGGUGUAUAUGAUGAAGCAGUGAAGAAAGUGUUCAUUUGUAUUGUUGUUGUUGGUGGUGGUUGGUGGUGUUUGAGUUGAAUGGGGUUGAAAAGGGAGAUGAAUGAAGUGUGUUUGUAAUGAUUGCACGGUAUUUCAAGACUACCUCUUCUCCUUCUUCUAGGGUUUUGCUUCCAUGUUCAUUCCUCUCCCUUUUCAACCCCAUUCAACUCAAAAACCACCAACCACCACCAACAACAACAAUACAAAUGAACACCUUCUUUACUGCUUCAUCGUAUACACCUCUCUGCACCUGUAUUUUCUCCGCGGUGAAGAGAGGUGUAUAUGAUGAAGCAGUGAAGAAGGUGUAUAUGAUGAAGCAGUGAAGAAGGUGUAUACAGAUGCAGAGAGGUGUAUAUGAUGAAGCAGUGAAGAAAGUGUUCAUUUGUAUUGUUGUUGUUGGUGGUGGUUGGUGGUGUUUGAGUUGAAUGGGGUUGAAAAGGGAGAUGAAUGAAGUGUGUUUGUAAUGAUUGCACGGUAUUUCAAGACUACCUCUUCUCCUUCUUCUAGGGUUUUGCUUCCAUGUUCAUUCCUCUCCCUUUUCAACCCCAUUCAACUCAAAAACCACCAACCACCACCAACAACAACAAUACAAAUGAACACCUUCUUUACUGCUUCAUCGUAUACACCUCUCUGCACCUGUAUUUUCUCCGCGGUGAAGAGAGGUGUAUAUGAUGAAGCAGUGAAGAAGGUGUAUAUGAUGAAGCAGUGAAGAAGGUGUAUACAGAUGCAGAGAGGUGUAUAUGAUGAAGCAGUGAAGAAAGUGUUCAUUUGUAUUGUUGUUGUUGGUGGUGGUUGGUGGUGUUUGAGUUGAAUGGGGUUGAAAAGGGAGAUGAAUGAAGUGUGUUUGUAAUGAUUGCACGGUAUUUCAAGACUACCUCUUCUCCUUCUUCUAGGGUUUUGCUUCCAUGUUCAUUCCUCUCCCUUUUCAACCCCAUUCAACUCAAAAACCACCAACCACCACCAACAACAACAAUACAAAUGAACACCUUCUUUACUGCUUCAUCAUAUACACCUCUCUGCACCUGUAUUUUCUCCGCAGUGAAGAGAGGUGUAUAUGAUGAAGCAGUGAAGAGAGGAGUAUAUGAUGAAGCAGUGGAAAAGGUGUAUACAGGUGCAGAGAGGUGUAUAUGAUGAAGCAGUGAAGAAGGUGUUCAUUUGUAUUGUUGUUGUUGGUGGUGGUUGGUGGUGUUUGAGUUGAAUGGGGUUGAAAAGGGAGAGGAAUGAAGUGUGUUUGUAAUGAUUGCACAGUAUUUCAAGACUACCUCUUCUCCUUCUUCUAGGGUUUUGCUUCCAUGUUCAACGACUUCUGAUUCAAAUAUACUUCUAAUUGGUGGAGAAUUACAGAAUCCUUCGUCACCAUAUUGUUCUACGCAUGCCUCGAGAGAGGUGUAUAAGCUAAUUCCAGAAGUUAGUGGUCCUAAUGGUGAUAUUAAGAAUAUCAGAAUUGAAUUAGCUGAUGCUACUAUUCCGAGGAUGAAAUCUGGUAAAGCGUGUCCUAUUGUUGAAGAGAUUGGAGGUAAUCUAUAUGUCCUUUACUCUCGCUUUGUACACAGAGGUUUCACUGCACAAUCUGAAAUUCCUUUUGAGGUUUUUGAUUCAAAAAUCGAUGAAUGGAGAACCCUUCCAGUUCCUCCUUUCUUCGUUGCUGGUUCGGGUACUGUCAUUUAUGCAUAUGCUGUAUUUGGUCAUUGUUUUGCAAUUGAAACAUCUAAAGAAUGUUUUUGUUUUGAUACAUUCAAAGAAAAAUGGUAUUGUUCACACAACAUGACCUCUCAUUUAAUCAAUAUUCUUCCUAUGACUAUACCCUCGGGUCUGCCCUGCUUCGGACUCGACGAGCAAGGUAGACAACUGUAUGUUGGCAUUAGUCUUCUAAUUGAGCCCUGUGCGUACCUAGCCACCCCCGAUGGAACCGUUUAUGCAAGGCAAUCUUUGUAUCAUGUUAUUUUUAAAGUAAUUCUUCCUUAUCCUUAUCCACCCAUGCUUAGGAACGUGCUUAUUCCUUUGAAGUCGAUACAAGAAAAUGUCAUUAGAAUGUGUGCUUGUUCCAUUGUCUCACACAAUGACUUUCCAGCUUGUUCCAUUGCCUUCUCAACAACUUAUCUAUAAGAUGAUUUCUGGAGAAUUGCCUGAUAUCCAUGAUCAUCCUGCAUACUCCACCUUCUUGGAUGUCUUUGUGGAAAGAAAGUUUUUCCUUAGAGCUCCCCACCUUGGCCACUUUUUCAAUGGGCCUGCUUUGCUACUUUGAGAUUCUUGCAGCUUGGGGUUUAGGAUGGUUGUUUUAUUUUGCACCUUGGCGUGGCUGGCUGAUUGUUCUGCUUGAAGUUCCUACUCUUUUCCUCUGCAGCGUUUUCUGGUUACUAAUUAUUACGGACUGUAAUGGAGACUGGAGAGUACUCCCCUCUUUAUAUUAUCAUCUUUUCUAAGCAAUCGACUUCCAGUAACUCUUUUGUAAUAGCUUUUAACUAGCUAACUUAUCCUGAUCUAGCUUUUGUGCACUGUUCUGAAAUUCUAACUUAUUCUAUUACUAUGA